Zea mays is the source of this 1757-nucleotide RNA transcript. RefSeq lists it as uncharacterized. The record is from RefSeq and is marked validated. NCBI's taxonomy places the organism in Eukaryota, Viridiplantae, Streptophyta, Magnoliopsida, Poales, Poaceae. The transcript is spliced from 5 exons.
CCUUCACAUUUAUGUUUCGACAUUUCAAAUUGUACAGUGUGUGCCGAGUCAUAAAUCCAUAGUUAUUUCUUAAAAUAGUUGAUUGUUGCUUUUCUUUUGCUCUUUUGUAAAUAUCGACCACAUGAUGUUUAGGCCUUUUGUCUUUAAGCUAAGCGGCUGCAGACUGUGUUCUUUAGGUACUUGUGUAACCAGUGCCUUUUGGCGACCUAGAAAUGUGUUAUAUUCCAUAACUGACUUCUGACCUAGCACAAUGCAUAUUUCAUAGCGAUGGAUUCUGGCACCGGCAUACGUUUGUCAUUCUUUUGGUAACAGCGGCUUAAUCUAUGAUCAUACUGUCUUUGUUUAGAUAAACCUGGUGCUACAUCCAAGAAAUUGGUCUAUUCGCUACCAAAUGUGAAUUUCAUGUUAUUUGUGAUGUCUAGGCCGACAUAGCGUCUGAUAGGGCCUAAGGAUUUGCUAGACAAGGGAAUAUACUGGCCCCAGAACUUGCUGACGAAGUUGCAGUCUUUUACAGAGGCUUCUGAUUCUAAUGGUCGCUAGUUCAGCAUGGGAGAGUGCGAUUUAUUUUUGGAGGAAAAAAUAGAAUGCUUUAGGGUCUUGAAGUAUGACAUUGAAGCAGCAUGUUUAUUAAAGCAAGGUCAAGGACCUGAAAAGUAGAACCGCAGAAUUGAAUUCUCAGGACGUGCUGGAGCAAUUGAUAGCACAUCAGCAAUUGUUAUAUCGACUUAUUGGAUGUCGAACAGAAGGGGCUGCAAAUAACAAUUAUCUGGUGCAAUAUGCUCUAGCCCAGGUAAGCUCUAUUUUUCCUGUCGUUUUGUUUGCUUCAACUGGUCAUUUGUGAAUCUGUCUGGCUAUGUCUUGCACUUUAUGACCUAUUCAAUGUUUAAUAGAGCAGUUCAAUUCCUUCUUUGUAAUAGUUUACGCAAAUUUGAGCCCAUCCUGCUACUGUACAUGUUCUUACAGGAAGCUUCAAACUUUAUUGUGCAAUAAAUGAUGGGAUUAUCAACCUUAUUGACAGGUUGUGCAGUUCUUUGCGAUGCCAAAGCAUGCAGCACUAAAAGCCCUUGACGCUUACAAGAGGGCUAUUCUGCAGGGUUAUUGUAUAUUAACAGCCAACAGUAGUGUCCAUUUCAUGCACAAGAUGAGGUGUGAACAUAGUAGAACUGUCAUUUAUGGUAAGAUAAUUUCCUGAAGCUAAUAAUGUAAUGGCCUGAUGCUAUUUGGAUGGUUCUUAUGCACUAAGCAUGACUUAUUGCUAUUAUUAUUUUAAUUGAACACAUAGAAGAACCAUAAAUUUAACCAUUUGCUUCAAGAACUAAUACACCUUUACAGAGAGACGAUUGGUAGGCAAUCGAGUAAUUUAGACGUGAUAUGCUUUCAUUAUGGCACAAAUUCUUGAGUCCAAAUAAACUACACUUGUUCUCCAAUCGGCAUGACUUCUAUUUGCAUUGAAUUGAAUAACUGAAUGUCCAAAUAAACUACACUUGUUCUUGAGUCCAAAUAAACUGCACGUGUUCUCAUCUUGUGUUGCUGCAUUUGCUGAUACCUUUACUGGAUACCCGUUGAUAUCCUUGCAACAUAUCUUUUCCAGUGCCACUGCAUUUUUAUUUCAGUACUCCUUUUUAUUAUUAGGUACUCAGUUUACACCUUGUGCGACAUUGUUAUUAGUAUUUGGUGAAUUUGUAUCUGAAUAAAGGGUACGAAUCUUCGUACAUAUUGAAAUAGGUGGUAGUUUUUUGGCCCUCUAUUUGUGCAUG